AAGACUAUAGACCUGCGGAGUACCUGCGGAGGGAUCAUUACAGAGUUGCAAAACUCCAAACCAUUGUGAACUUACCUUUGCCGUUGCUUCGGCGGGCGGCCCGGGUCCCGACCCGGCGCCCCCCGGCCCCGUCAGGGGCGCCCGCCGGAGGUAAACCAAACUCUUGAAUUGUAUGGCCUCUCUGAGUCUUCUGUACUGAAUAAGUCAAAACUUUCAGCAAUGGAUCUCUAGAUCGGAAGA
This 240-nucleotide unclassified non-coding RNA is filed under the name soil metagenome. Its description in RNAcentral is "partial contains 5.8S ribosomal RNA, internal transcribed spacer 2, and large subunit ribosomal RNA". The record is from RNAcentral.